AGUGAACGCUGGCGGCAGGCCUAAUACAUGCAAGUCGAACGGCAGCACGGCAGAGCUUGCUCUGUGGGUGGCGAGUGGCGGACGGGUGAGGAAUACAUGGGAAUCUGCCCAGUCGUGGGGGAUAACGUAGGGAAACUUACGCUAAUACCGCAUGCGCCCUUCGGGGGAAAGCCGGGGACCUUCGGGCCUGGCGCGAUUGGAUGAGCCCAUGUCGGAUUAGCUAGUUGGCGGGGUAAUGGCCCACCAAGGCGACGAUCCGUAGCUGGUCUGAGAGGAUGAUCAGCCACACUGGAACUGAGACACGGUCCAGACUCCUACGGGAGGCAGCAGUAGGGAAUAUUGGACAAUGGGCGCAAGCCUGAUCCAGCCAUGCCGCGUGAGUGAAGAAGGCCCUCGGGUUGUAAAGCUCUUUUGUCCGGAAGAAAAGACGCCGGGUUAAUACCCUGGUGUCCUGACGGUACCGGAAGAAUAAGCACCGGCUAACUUCGUGCCAGCAGCCGCGGUAAUC
RNAcentral lists this ribosomal RNA (508 nucleotides) under uncultured bacterium. Its description in RNAcentral is "bacterial SSU rRNA". It matches the Rfam family "Bacterial small subunit ribosomal RNA", at positions 29 to 525 of the family's 1533-position model. The record is from RNAcentral.